AUGCUCUUGUUGGUCUUCAUGCUACUAGUUAAUCUUCCGCCUUUUACUAAAGAUUACCGUGGAGAGGUACAUUACAAUGAGCCUAUAAAUAAUUUUUGGAAUCCUCAUCUGAUGGUGGGGU
This 121-nucleotide small nuclear RNA is filed under the name Stegodyphus mimosarum. RNAcentral describes it as "U5 spliceosomal RNA". It matches the Rfam family "U5 spliceosomal RNA". From Rfam's summary of the family: U5 RNA is a component of both types of known spliceosome. The precise function of this molecule is unknown, though it is known that the 5' loop is required for splice site selection and p220 binding, and that both the 3' stem-loop and the Sm site are important for Sm protein binding and cap methylation. The record is from Rfam by way of RNAcentral. Lineage: Eukaryota; Metazoa; Arthropoda; Arachnida; Araneae; Eresidae.